This 502-nucleotide ribosomal RNA is filed under the name uncultured eukaryote. RNAcentral's name for it is "eukaryotic LSU rRNA". It matches the Rfam family "Eukaryotic large subunit ribosomal RNA", at positions 1484 to 1986 of the family's 3401-position model. The record is from RNAcentral.
UUGAAGACCGAAGUGGAGAAGGGUUCCAUGAGAACAGCAUUUGUUCAUGGGUUACUCGAUCCUAAGACAUAGGGAAAUUCCUUGUAAUACAUGCGAUCUUACGACCGCAUUGUCAAAAGGGAAUGAGGUUGAUAUUCCUCAAGCUGGAUGUGGUGGCAACGUGGCAACACAAAACAAGCUCGGAAACACCGGUAUGUGCAACUGGAAGAGUUCUCUUUUUCUUCUUAACAAUCUAUCUCCCUGAAUGGAUUAUCCAAAGCAAGGGAUAUAUGGUUGGCAGAGCAGUUCAUCAUAGAAUUGUCAGUGAUGCCCAUAACGGUCCUUGAAAAUCUGAGUAAGGUAUCCAAACACACCAGAUCGUACCCAUAACCGCAUCAGGUCUCCAAGGUUAGCAGCCUCUGGUCGAUAGAAUAAUGCAGAUAAGGGAAUUCGGCAAAUUAGAUCCGUAACUUCGGAAAAGGAAUUGGCUCUGAGGAUUGGGUUAUAGUGGCUGCCAUUGAGA